This is a long non-coding RNA of Gymnogyps californianus (California condor), 450 nucleotides long. RefSeq lists it as uncharacterized. The transcript is spliced from 3 exons. The record is from RefSeq and is a predicted model, not a curated record. NCBI's taxonomy places the organism in Eukaryota, Metazoa, Chordata, Aves, Accipitriformes, Cathartidae.
GAUCAACGCUGGGAGAAAGAAGAAAAGUAGUGAAGGAGUCGAUGUGUGAUGCAGGACGGGUCUGAGCCAAGGAGCCAAGGUGCAGAAGUGCUGGUGAAAAAGACUUGGCAAUAGAAACUGUCUAUUCAAGACUGGACAGAUAAAGCACAGGAGCCGCUAACACGCACUCCCUGACAUCCUUCGCCGUUCCCCAGGAGGCAGCCUGCGUGACAGAGGAAUGGCAGAGCAUCAGCCGCGCAGCAGCAAUGAGAGAGACUGACAUUCAUACGAGUCUGUUCUGGCUCCUUCUCCACAAUGGCUGGUGCCUCUGCAUAUUCAUUGGAUGGUAAUGCAGGAUGUCGAGAGCAGCGGUAGAGUUUGGCUUGAUCCCAUUGUGUUUUUCUUCUGCCGGUUGAGACUUUGAAUCACCAUGACAACGCUGUGACACUUCCAGCAAAGGUUGCUCACAGA